CUGACGGAUGCAGAGAUGUAUCUUCCCUUCGGGGCAGAGGUGACAGGUGGUGCAUGGUUGUCGUCAGCUCGUGUCGUGAGAUGUUGGGUUAAGUCCCGCAACGAGCGCAACCCUUGAUCUGUGUUACCAGCACGUAGUGGUGGGGACUCACAGGUGACUGCCGGCGUAAGUCGGAGGAAGGUGGGGAUGACGUCAAAUCAUCAUGCCCUUUAUGUCCUGGGCGACACACGUGCUACAAUGGGCGGAACAACGGGAAGCGAGACCGCGAGGUGGAGCAAAACCCUGAAAACCGUUCGUAGUUCNGGAUUGCAGGCUGCAACCCGCCUGCAUGAAGCCGGAAUUGCUAGUAAUCGCGGAUCAGCAUGCCGCGGUGAAUCCGUUCCCGGGCCUUGUACACACCGCCCGUCACACCACGAGAGUCGGCAACACCCGAAGUCGGUGGGGUAACCCGUAACNGGGGCCAGCCGCCGAAGGUGGGGCUGAUGAUUGGCUGUGAAGUCGUAACAAGGUAGCCGUAUCUGAAGGUGAAGGCUGGAUCACCU
This 542-nucleotide ribosomal RNA is filed under the name uncultured bacterium. RNAcentral describes it as "bacterial SSU rRNA". It matches the Rfam family "Bacterial small subunit ribosomal RNA", at positions 991 to 1528 of the family's 1533-position model. The record is from RNAcentral.